Long non-coding RNA from Myotis myotis, 1623 nucleotides. RefSeq lists it as uncharacterized. The transcript is spliced from 3 exons. The record is from RefSeq and is a predicted model, not a curated record. NCBI's taxonomy places the organism in Eukaryota, Metazoa, Chordata, Mammalia, Chiroptera, Vespertilionidae.
GCAGAGGAUGAGAUUCCUCUUUCCGCUUUGGGUGUUGCCAUGUGAGAAUGCGAUGUUUGGGACUGCCAUAACCAUGUCACCAUGACAGGAAGGCCAGAAGAAGGUGGAGGUGCUCCCUGACACCCUGCAUCGCUGACUGCCCAACUAACUCUGGGACUGCUCGCCUCUCUGCUGGGCUCCAGCCCAGGAUCCCACAUUCCACUUAGUGGUCCUGUCUCUUUGGUCUCCUUCAAUCUGUGACAGCUCCUGUCUUUACACGUCUUUCAUGACCUUGACACUUCAGGUGCCUUGCUCUCUCAGGACCUGCUGGCUGUGGAAGCUGACUCUCCCUCUCAGGAGUGCUUUCGUGCGAUCUAUGUUCCUACCCAUCGCUGCUGACUUCCUCUGACCUGAAUGAAUGCACUGCAUUCUGGAAGUUGCUUAUUAACCCCCAUUUAGAAUCAAAAGAGCAGCCUCCACCCCCAGCUUCCCUGUAAUGAAAGCUGUUCACCUCUCCACUGACCCGACUCUAUGGGAUGCGAUCUGAGAUGACCCCGUGCCAGCUCUUUUGUGUGUUUCUGGCUGCAGAGGAGCCAAGGAAACACUCAUGCAUUCUUUGCCCAGACAAAUUCGGGGCAGCAAGCUGAUUCAAGCCCAGCAGCGCCCUUCUUUCUCUCCAUCACCUAAGGAGCCAGCCAGCCUGUUCUUGCCUUCUGUGUGCUAGAUGAGAGCCAGACACAAGUCCCCUGGACAGCCUAGCAGCAGAGAAUACAUACGGGGCUCUCCGAGAGGAAGUACUGAAUCCCAUCUUGCUCAGUUCACAUGAGCCAGUAACACUUCCCCCCAAAUCUUGAAAAAUCUCCAUCAACUGCUCUCAAGACAUUACAUUACACGAGGAGUUGACAAUGUUCAGGAAUGAAUUCCUGGGUAUUUCCAUCGAAAAGGCUCUCUUGGCCUACCAUUCCACUUUGGAAGUUCAUAUCUCUUAAAUCUUAGUGCUUCAAAUGAAACUUAAUUGAACAUCUUCUUGCACCAAUCUUAAAUUCUUCCAAUUCAACCUAUGAGAUUAGUGUAACAUUGGUCUUAAAAUUAAAUUUAAAAGACUAGGAAGGAAAGUUUUAGGCCAAUUUUUUUCAUAACCAAAGUUGCAAAAACAAACUAUUAUCAACCAAAUCCAGGAGAAUAUGAAAAAGAUCAUCAAUCAUACUAAAUUGGGUUUAUCCCAGGAAUGAAAAAAUGGUUUAACAUUAUACAGGCCAUUAAUGUAAUUCCUUACAUUAACAGAUUAGAGAAGGCAGACCAUUUGGCUAUCUCAAUAGAUGCAGAAAAAGCAUUUGAGAAAAGCAAACUCAUUUGUGACAGAAACUCUGAAAAUAAAAAUUAGGAAUGUAACUUCUUUAACAGGAUAAAAGUCCAAAACAAAAGCUUAUGACAGACACUAAUAUUAUUAAUGGUAAAGCUUACAAGUAUUCCCUUUAAAAUCAGGAACAAGUUGAAGAUGCCCAAUAUCAUCAUUCUAUUCAACAUUAUUCUCAUUAGUAAAAUUUUAAAAGAUCCUAUAUAAUAAAAGGGUAAUAUGCAAAUUGACCCUAACAGCAGAAUGACUGGGAAUGACUGGUCACCAUGACACACACUGACCACCAG